This 443-nucleotide ribosomal RNA is filed under the name uncultured bacterium. RNAcentral describes it as "bacterial SSU rRNA". It matches the Rfam family "Bacterial small subunit ribosomal RNA", at positions 329 to 789 of the family's 1533-position model. The record is from RNAcentral.
CGCCAGACUCCUACGGGAGGCAGCAGUGGGGAAUAUUGCACAAUGGGGGAAACCCUGAUGCAGCGACGCCGCGUGAAGGACGAAGUAUUUCGGUACGUAAACUUCUAUCAGCAGGGAAGAAAAUGACGGUACCUGACCAAGAAGCCCCGGCUAACUACGUGCCAGCAGCCGCGGUAAUACGUAGGGGGCAAGCGUUAUCCGGAUUUACUGGGUGUAAAGGGAGCGUAGACGGCCAUGCAAGUCUGAUGUGAAAACCCGGGGCUCAACCCCGGGACUGCAUUGGAAGCUGUGCGGCUGGAGUGUCGGAGAGGCAAGUGGAAUUCCUAGUGUAGCGGUGAAAUGCGUAGAUAUUAGGAGGAACACCAGUGGCGAAGGCGGCUUACUGGACUGUAACUGACGUUGAGGCUCGAAAGCGUGGGGAGCAAACAGGAUUAGAUACCGUA